CAGGUGUAGUUCAAUGGUAGAAUUCCAGCCUUCCAAGCUGGUUAUACGGGUUCGAUUCCCGUUACCUG
Molecule: transfer RNA, 68 nt
Filed under: human oral metagenome
Rfam family: tRNA
About the family: Transfer RNA (tRNA) molecules are approximately 80 nucleotides in length.
Source: RNAcentral